CCUACGGGUGACAGCAGUGAGGAAUAUUGGUCAAUGGGCGGGAGCCUGAACCAGCCAAGCCGCGUGAAGGAAGAAGGCGCCAAGCGUCGUAAACUUCUUUUGUCGGGGAACAAAGGGCGCCACGUGUGGCGUUGUGAGUGUACCCGAAGCAAAAGCAUCGGCUAACUCAGUGCCAGCAGCCUCGGUAAUACGGAGGAUGCGAGCGUUAUCCGGAUUGAUUGGGUUUAAAGGGUGCGUAGACGGUCCGGAAAGUCAGCGGUAAAAGCCCGGGGCUCAACCCCGGCGAGCCGUUGAAACUGUCGGACUAGAGACUGCGAGAAGUACGCGGAAUGCGCGGUGGAGCGGUGAGAUGCAUAGAUAUCGCGCAGAACUCCGAUUGCGAAGGCAGCGUACCGGCGCCGGACUGACGCUGAGGCACGAAAGCGUGGGUAUCAAACAGGAUUAGAUACCCGAGUAGUG
RNAcentral lists this ribosomal RNA (459 nucleotides) under uncultured bacterium. RNAcentral's name for it is "partial 16S ribosomal RNA". It matches the Rfam family "Bacterial small subunit ribosomal RNA", at positions 338 to 795 of the family's 1533-position model. The record is from RNAcentral.